This 586-nucleotide ribosomal RNA is filed under the name uncultured bacterium. RNAcentral's name for it is "partial 16S ribosomal RNA". It matches the Rfam family "Bacterial small subunit ribosomal RNA", at positions 355 to 1375 of the family's 1533-position model. The record is from RNAcentral.
UGGGGAAUUUUGGACAAUGGGCGAAAGCCUGAUCCAGCAAUGCCGCGUGUGUGAAGAAGGCCUUCGGGUUGUAAAGCACUUUUGUCCGGAAAGAAAUCCUUGGCUCUAAUACAGUCGGGGGAUGACGGUACCGGAAGAAUAAGCACCGGCUAACUACGUGCCAGCAGCCGCGGUAAUACGUAGGGUGCAAGCGUUAAUCGGAAUUACUGGGCGUAAAGCGUGCGCAGGCGGUUUGCUAAGACCGAUGUGAAAUCCCCGGGCUCAACCUGGGAACUGCAUUGGUGACUGGCAGGCUAGAGUAUGGCAGAGGGGGGUAGAAUUCCACGUGUAGCAGUGAAAUGCGUAGAGAUGUGGAGGAAUACCGAUGGCGAAGGCAGCCCCCCUGGGCCAAUACUGACGCUCAUGCACGAAAGCGUGGGGAGCAAACAGGAUUAGAUACCCUGGUAGUCCACGCCCUAAACGAUGUCAACUAGUUGUUGGGGAUUCAUUUCCUUAGUAACGUAGCUAACGCGUGAAGUUGACCGUCUGGGGAGUACGGUCGCAAGAUUAAAACUUAAAUGAAUUGACGGGGUCAUAGCUGUUUCCU